UUUUCCCCAAAGAGCAUGUUGUUAGAAAUAAAAAUGAUUUCUUCCACUGAAUGAAUUUAAAAUGUCAGCUCACGAGCAGUUUAAAACAAAACAAAACAAGACUCCUAAUAAUGAUCACUUUCCCUACAGUGAGGCAUUCAUCCUCAAGGAUCCCAAAGCACCGUUCAAAUGAAGAUGCUGUGAUGUCUAGGUGUUGGGAAAAUCUUUACCAGUGCUGAAUGCUAGAUGAACACAACUUAAUGUAAAUAAUCCUAAUAGCAAUAAUAAGCAGGUUGCUAAAGGAACCAUGACCCGGACUGUUUUUCCUGCACAAAGUUCAAAGUAUGUAUAAUCCUCAGUCUGCCACCCUGCGAAAAAUGAAGAACACUUGCCUUACAUGAUUUCCAAAGGACAUGACUUUAUUUAGUAUACAAUAUUCACAUGGUUCAGUACAACAAAUUAUAAAAUAGUUUUCUAUAAGAUCUCACCCAUAGGAUGCUGAAACCAGAAAACCAUCGGCCUUCGGACAGCUGACGGGCUCCCCUCUCACCGAGAAAACGCUCUCCGUGACCAGACGGAUGCUGAGGUCUCCCUGGCCUAAAGGUUGUGCUGCAGGAAAGAACAUUCUACACCAGCUAUGUUUUAAAUGUCUCACAUCAAGAUCUGCAUACAAUUUUCCAGCCUGGUAUCUACAACCCGAAGUGGAAUACUAAAAAGUGAAUUUUCAGGAAGUAACCGCAAAAGACACAAAAUUAAAAAGAAACCAGCAUAUUCCUACCAUCACGUACCUUACGUGUGCUUGAUUUCAAUUAUUGUAAGGCACUCUCUAAAGGAGGUACUGACCCAUGCUGUCAGCUGAAACAGCCAUGCAUCAUUACUGGCUUAAUUAAAGUUUUAAUACUGA
Tachyglossus aculeatus (Australian echidna) is the source of this 883-nucleotide long non-coding RNA. RefSeq lists it as uncharacterized. The record is from RefSeq and is a predicted model, not a curated record. NCBI's taxonomy places the organism in Eukaryota, Metazoa, Chordata, Mammalia, Monotremata, Tachyglossidae. The transcript has 3 exons.